CCUACGGGAGGCAGCAGUGGGGGAUAUUGCACAAUGGGGGGAACCCUGAUGCAGCGACGCCGCGUGGGUGAAGGAGUGCUUCGGCAUGUAAAGCUCUAUCGGCAGGGAAGAAGCAAGACGGUACCUGACUAAGAAGCCCCGGCUAACUACGUGCCAGCAGCCGCGGUAAUACGUAGGGGGCGGGCGUUAUCCGGAUUCACUGGGUGUAAAGGGAGCGUAGGCGGCCAUGCAAGCCAGAGGUGAAAGCCCGGGCCCCAACCCCGGGACUGCCCUUGGAACUGCAGGGCUAGAUUGCGGGAGGGGCAGGCGGAAUUCCUGGUGUAGCGGUGAAAUGCGUAGAUAUCAGGAGGAACACCGGCGGCGAAGGCGGCCUGCUGGACCGCGACUGACGCUGAGGCUCGAAAGCGUGGGGAGCGAACAGGAUUAGAUACCCGAGUAGUC
RNAcentral lists this ribosomal RNA (441 nucleotides) under uncultured bacterium. RNAcentral's name for it is "partial 16S ribosomal RNA". It matches the Rfam family "Bacterial small subunit ribosomal RNA", at positions 338 to 795 of the family's 1533-position model. The record is from RNAcentral.